Molecule: ribosomal RNA, 492 nt
Filed under: Kyphosus analogus (blue-bronze sea chub)
Lineage: Eukaryota; Metazoa; Chordata; Actinopteri; Centrarchiformes; Kyphosidae
Description: partial 16S ribosomal RNA
Rfam family: Bacterial large subunit ribosomal RNA
Source: RNAcentral
UCACUUGUCUUUUAAAUGGAGACCUGUAUGAAUGGCAUAACGAGGGCUUAGCUGUCUCCUUUUUCAAGUCAAUGAAAUUGAUCUCCCCGUGCAGAAGCGGGGAUAACACCAUAAGACGAGAAGACCCUAUGGAGCUUUAGACACCAAGGCAGAUCAUGUUAAACACCCCUUCACAAAGGACUAAACCAGAUGAACCCUGCCCUAAUGUCUUUGGUUGGGGCGACCGCGGGGAAACAGAAAACCCCCACGUGGAAUGGGAACACUCCUUCCUACAACUAAGAGCUCCCGCUCUAAUGACCAGAACUUCUGACCAAUUAGAUCCGGCAACGCCGAUCAACGAACCGAGUUACCCUAGGGAUAACAGCGCAAUCCCCUUUUAGAGCCCAUAUCGACAAGGGGGUUUACGACCUCGAUGUUGGAUCAGGACAUCCUAAUGGUGCAGCCGCUAUUAAGGGUUCGUUUGUUCAACGAUUAAAGUCCUACGUGAUCUGA